GCCUGGGUGGCUCAGUCGGUUGAGCGUCCGACUUCGGCUCAGGUCAUGAUCUCGCGGUUCGUGGGUUCGAGCCCCGCGUCGGGCU
Transfer RNA from Felis catus (domestic cat), 85 nucleotides. It matches the Rfam family "tRNA". From Rfam's summary of the family: Transfer RNA (tRNA) molecules are approximately 80 nucleotides in length. Their secondary structure includes four short double-helical elements and three loops (D, anti-codon, and T loops). Further hydrogen bonds mediate the characteristic L-shaped molecular structure. tRNAs have two regions of fundamental functional importance: the anti-codon, which is responsible for specific mRNA codon recognition, and the 3' end, to which the tRNAs corresponding amino acid is attached (by aminoacyl-tRNA synthetases). tRNAs cope with the degeneracy of the genetic code in two manners: having more than one tRNA (with a specific anti-codon) for a particular amino acid; and 'wobble' base-pairing, i.e. permitting non-standard base-pairing at the 3rd anti-codon position. Lineage: Eukaryota; Metazoa; Chordata; Mammalia; Carnivora; Felidae. The record is from Rfam.